This 1241-nucleotide ribosomal RNA is filed under the name metagenome. RNAcentral's name for it is "bacterial LSU rRNA". It matches the Rfam family "Bacterial large subunit ribosomal RNA", at positions 1564 to 2815 of the family's 2925-position model. The record is from RNAcentral.
UGAAUACGAGAUGCUAAGGCGUCGAAGUAGUGUAUGUCAUACUUCCAAGAAAAGCUUGCACUGUCAUAGAUAAAAAACGCCUGUACCAUAACCGACACAGGUGGGUAGGUAGAGUAUACUAAGGGGCGCGAGAUAACUCUCUCUAAGGAACUCGGCAAAAUAACUCCGUAACUUCGGGAGAAGGAGUGCCUUAUUCGUAAGGUUGCAAUAACAAGAUCCAAGCAACUGUUUAUCAAAAACACAGGUCUCCGCUAAGUCGUAAGACGAUGUAUGGGGGCUGACGCCUGCCCAGUGCCAGAAGGUUAAAGAAGUUGGUUAGCAAUUGCGAAGCUGAUAACUGAAGCCCUGGUGAACGGCGGCCGUAACUAUAACGGUCCUAAGGUAGCGAAAUUCCUUGUCGGGUAAGUUCCGACCCGCACGAAAGGCGUAAUGAUUUGGAUACUGUCUCGGAGAGGGGCUCGGUGAAAUAGACUUGUCUGUGAAGAUGCGGACUACCUGCACCAGGACAGAAAGACCCUAUGAAGCUUUACUGUAACUUGAAAUUGAAAUUGGACUUUAUUCGCGCAGUAUAGGUGGGAGGCGUUGAUUAUAAUCUUGUGGGAUUAUUGGAGCCAUCAGUGAGAUACCACUCUUGUAAUGUUAGAUUUCUAACUUUGAAUCAUUAUCUGGUCAAAGAACAGUUUCAGGCGGGCAGUUUGACUGGGGCGGUCGCCUCCUAAACGGUAACGGAGGCGUACAAAGGUUUCCUCUGAACGGUUAGAAAUCGUAUCUAGAGUGUAAAGGCAUAAGGAAGCUUGUCUGUGAGACCUACAAGUCGAGCAGGGACGAAAGUCGGUCUUAGUGAUCUGACGGUACUGAGUGGAAAGGCCGUCACUCAACGGAUAAAAGUUACUCUAGGAUAACAGGCUGAUCUCCCCCAAGAGUUCACAUCGACGGGGAGGUUUGGCACCUCGAUGUCGGCUCAUCGCAUCCUGGGGCGGUAGUACGUCCCAAGGGUUGGGCUGUUCGCCCAUGGAAGCGGUACGCGAGCUGGGUUCAGAACGUCGUGAGACAGUUCGGUCCAUAUCCGGCGUAGGCGCUAGAAUAUUGAGAGGAGCCUUCUUUAGUACGAGAGGACCGAGAAGGACAUACCUCUGGUGUACCAGUUAUCGUGCCAACGGUAAACGCUGGGUAGCUAUGUAUGGAGUGGAUAACCGCUGAAAGCAUCUAAGUGGGAAGCCCACCUCAAGAUAAGUAUUCUC